RNAcentral lists this long non-coding RNA (279 nucleotides) under Vicia faba (fava bean). The record is from RNAcentral. Lineage: Eukaryota; Viridiplantae; Streptophyta; Magnoliopsida; Fabales; Fabaceae.
AUGACCGAUUUGCAUCAGCAAACAACACAGUCAUCGGGAAUAACCGUAGAUCCGGCCACCACACGAAUUCGACGGUGCAGCUGCCGUGACCCAUCAACUCCUUCCAUCAUGCUCAGCUACCACCAACAGCCGUCCUCAAACGCCGCCUCCAUUGAAGGUCCCUUCGUCCAAACCGAAGCUUCGAUCUCGCGCAUUGUGGCCAUCGCCGAUCUACCACCUCCCAACGCUUCGUCUCCGCCGCCAACAAAAGGGAAAUCACACAGUAUGUUCAUAAUAUGA